This 760-nucleotide ribosomal RNA is filed under the name uncultured Prevotella sp. RNAcentral's name for it is "bacterial SSU rRNA". It matches the Rfam family "Bacterial small subunit ribosomal RNA", at positions 28 to 776 of the family's 1533-position model. The record is from RNAcentral. Lineage: Bacteria; Pseudomonadati; Bacteroidota; Bacteroidia; Bacteroidales; Prevotellaceae.
GAUGAACGCUGGCUACAGGCUUAACACAUGCAAGUCGAGGGGAAACGACGGGGAAGCUUGCUUCCCCGGGCGUCGACCGGCGCACGGGUGAGUAACGCGUAUCCAACCUGCCUCUGACUGAGGGAUAACCCGUCGAAAGUCGGCCUAAUACCUCAUGGCAUCGUCUGCGGGCAUCCAACGACGAUUAAAGAUUUCAUCGGUCAGGGAUGGGGAUGCGUCUGAUUAGCUUGUUGGCGGGGUAACGGCCCACCAAGGCUACGAUCAGUAGGGGUUCUGAGAGGAAGGUCCCCCACAUUGGAACUGAGACACGGUCCAAACUCCUACGGGAGGCAGCAGUGAGGAAUAUUGGUCAAUGGGCGAGAGCCUGAACCAGCCAAGUAGCGUGCAGGAAGACGGCCCUAUGGGUUGUAAACUGCUUUUAUGCGGGGAUAAAGUGAGGGACGUGUCCUUCAUUGCAGGUACCGCAUGAAUAAGGACCGGCUAAUUCCGUGCCAGCAGCCGCGGUAAUACGGAAGGUCCGGACGUUAUCCGGAUUUAUUGGGUUUAAAGGGAGCGUAGGCCGUGGAUUAAGCGUGUUGUGAAAUGCAGGUGCUCAACGUCUGCACUGCAGCGCGAACUGGUCCACUAGAGUGUGCGCAACGCAGGCGGAAUUCGUCGUGUAGCGGUGAAAUGCUUAGAUAUGACGAAGAACUCCGAUUGCGAAGGCAGCUUGCGGGAGCACAACUGACGCUGAAGCUCGAAAGUGCGGGUAUCGAACAGG